AGACAUGUUAUAAUCUAUUUAUCACAUAUCUAAGUUCUGCAGAAUAGAGACACAAAGUUCAAUUAUUACAAUUUGAUAAAACAUAACAGGUAAAAUUUUAAAUUUUGUAUCACAAAAGUGUCGUUAAGGACACAAUGACGUGACGUCAUUUGGAAUCAGGGCACAAUAUCAAUAUCGUCUUUUUUGCCCCGGGCAAUUUUGAGGUUAUUGCAUAUGCAAAACCCAACGUAUUCG
RNAcentral lists this long non-coding RNA (234 nucleotides) under Mytilus galloprovincialis (Mediterranean mussel). The record is from RNAcentral. Lineage: Eukaryota; Metazoa; Mollusca; Bivalvia; Mytilida; Mytilidae.